UAGUGGCGGACGGGUGAGUAACGCGUGAGAAUCUAGCUUCAGGUCGGGGACAACCACUGGAAACGGUGGCUAAUACCGGAUAUGCCGAGAGGUGAAAGGCUUGCUGCCUGAAGAUGAGCUCGCGUCUGAUUAGCUAGUAGGUGNUGGUAAAAGCGCACCUAGGCGACGAUCAGUAGCUGGUCUGAGAGGAUGAUCAGCCACACUGGGACUGAGACACGGCCCAGACUCCUACGGGAGGCAGCAGUGGGGAAUUUUCCGCAAUGGGCGAAAGCCUGACGGAGCAAUACCGCGUGAGGGAGGAAGGCUCUUGGGUUGUAAACCUCUUUUCUCAGGGAAGAAAAAAAUGACGGUACCUGAGGAAUAAGCAUCGGCUAACUCCGUGCCAGCAGCCGCGGUAAUACGGAGGAUGCAAGCGUUAUCCGGAAUGAUUGGGCGUAAAGGGUCCGCAGGUGGCUAUGUAAGUCUGCUGUUAAAGAACCUAGCUUAACUAGGUAAAAGCAGUGGAAACUACAAGGCUAGAGUGCGUUCGGGGUAGAGGGAAUUCCUGGUGUAGCGGUGAAAUGCGUAGAUAUCAGGAAGAACACCAGUGGCGAAGGCGCUCUACUAGGCCGCAACUGACACUGAGGGACGAAAGCUAGGGGAGCGAAUGGGAUUAGAUACCCCAGUAGUCCUAGCCGUAAACGAUGGAUACUAGGCGUGGCUUGUAUCGACCCAAGCCGUGCCGGAGCUAACGCGUUAAGUAUCCCGCCUGGGGAGUACGCACGCAAGUGUGAAACUCAAAGGAAUUGACGGGGGCCCGCACAAGCGGUGGAGUAUGUGGUUUAAUUCGAUGCAACGCGAAAG
Molecule: ribosomal RNA, 843 nt
Filed under: Nodularia spumigena CHS1
Lineage: Bacteria; Bacillati; Cyanobacteriota; Cyanophyceae; Nostocales; Nodulariaceae
Description: bacterial SSU rRNA
Rfam family: Bacterial small subunit ribosomal RNA
Source: RNAcentral